AUCUUCCAGAAGGUCCCAGAGCAGCAUCCACACCUCCUGAAAAGACCAAGAUGUGAAGUGUCUGCUGUUGAUUCCAGCUUCCACCUCAGUGACAGUGCAAGCUCAGUGAACUGUUCAAGGAGGCUACUGAUUCUGGCCCUGUGACACUUGGUGGUGACGUGUGAGCUGAUUCACCUGGACACUCAGCAAAAUAUGGACUCUACACCAUGAGGCAGGCACACGUUAAUAACUCUAUAAGAGCACAUAAGCAUGAGGAUGUCCUCACACACCUGUCAUCUGGUUAUGACAGCAUGAGGAUGUCCUCACACACCUGUAACCUAUCAGCUCAUCUGGCAGAAUAGAGAGAGAAGAGACAACACCACAUCUCCUGUUCCUGGAAAGCCUUCAGCCAUCCUUCGACUGAGAACCUCCAUCAGCUCUGUCUCCUGUCUGCCUACAAUUAUUAUAAUAAAUAUUGUGUUUGACAAGUUUUUUGUGCUGCCAAAU
Nothobranchius furzeri (turquoise killifish) is the source of this 486-nucleotide non-coding RNA. NCBI's taxonomy places the organism in Eukaryota, Metazoa, Chordata, Actinopteri, Cyprinodontiformes, Nothobranchiidae. The record is from RefSeq and is a predicted model, not a curated record.